RNAcentral lists this long non-coding RNA (487 nucleotides) under Mus pahari (shrew mouse). RNAcentral describes it as "lncRNA (MGP_PahariEiJ_G0006191.1)". Lineage: Eukaryota; Metazoa; Chordata; Mammalia; Rodentia; Muridae. The record is from RNAcentral.
GACGGCCGCUAGGAAAUCACUCAUGUCCCACAUGGCACAAGGACUCUCCUCUUCUUGAGACAAGACUCACUCUGUAACCCAAGAUGGUCUGAAACUUACUGUGUAGUUCAGGUUGGCCACAAGCCCACAGCAGUCCUCCUGCUCCAGCUAGCUACUCAAGGAUUAGAAUUACAGGGAUGGAGUACUUAUCCCCUUCUUUCAGAAGCUCUGGCUUGCUCUGAUGUCAACUUCAGGACCAAUUCUCUAUGACUUCCUGAUUCAAGAGCCCCAAGAUGCCUGGGUGUGCCUCAGCCCAUCUCUGUGUUCUGAUCCCAAAUUCUCAAGACAGAUCACUGGAUCCAUGUCUAUCAGGACAAUGACAUCUGAUUGGUGGGUCGGUGCCUGUAGCUCAAGUGGGGGAGGUGGGGACAUACGCUGGAGCAGACAUCAGUUUCCCAGGAGUGGAGAGAAGACAUAUUGAAGGAAAUCAGGAUCGUGUCAGCACAGG